GAUGAACGCUGGCGGCGUGCCUAAUACAUGCAAGUCGAGCGAACGGACGAGAAUUUUGUUCUUGUGAUGAGAGCGGCGGGCGGGUGAGUAACAUGUGGAUACCCCAUCUAUAAGUCUGGUAACAUUGCGGGAAAGCGGCGCUAACACGAGAAUAUUUUUUGAAUCAUAUUCGACAACUGAAAGAUACGGUCUUCCUGCAAUUAAUAGAUGGAUCCGCGCUGCAUUAGCUAGUUGGUAAGGUAACGGCUUACCAAGGCAACGAUGCGUAGCCGACCUGAGAGGGUGAUCGGCCACACUGGAACUGAGACACGGUCCAGACUCCUACGGGAGGCAGCAGUAGGGAAUCUUCCGCAAUGGGCGAAAGCCUGACGGAGCAACGCCGCGUGAGUGAUGAAGGUCUUCGGAUCGUAAAACUCUGUUAUUAGGGAAGAACAUAUGUGUAAGUAACUGUGCACAUCUUGACGGUACCUAAUCAGAAAGCCACGGCUAACUACGUG
This 497-nucleotide ribosomal RNA is filed under the name uncultured bacterium. Its description in RNAcentral is "partial 16S ribosomal RNA". It matches the Rfam family "Bacterial small subunit ribosomal RNA", at positions 28 to 507 of the family's 1533-position model. The record is from RNAcentral.